Salvelinus sp. IW2-2015 is the source of this 572-nucleotide long non-coding RNA. RefSeq lists it as uncharacterized. The record is from RefSeq and is a predicted model, not a curated record. NCBI's taxonomy places the organism in Eukaryota, Metazoa, Chordata, Actinopteri, Salmoniformes, Salmonidae.
AACAACACAGAGUAACAGUAGCUAAAUUCCCCAACCACUCAUCGAAGUUAGCUAGCCAAAACUUUAUUGCUAGCUAGGUUAUCAAAGUGCCGAAUUCAUAGCUAAGAACUUAGGUUUGUUGUUGUAGAAUAAAACUGGACUUUUUAUUUGCCGUCGAAGUAUCGAAAAGGGGAGUAAAACCGUUGUUCGAACUGGACCGCCUAAAGUUUCUCAUAGUCCCAAUCCCAGCACUGAAUAAUUUCAGAGGGCUGCUGAGGAGAGCUGUGCUGGCACUGCCAAGCCAAGCUCAAACUGUAGCCUGACGGACAACACUUUCUGAGGAUCUCUCUGUCAUUCCUGGGGCUACGUGUCAGCUUAAGAGGUCAAUCAAAGGCGAGCACAAGGGGAAUUUUAGGACUAGUUCUCCUGGACCAUCAGAUGUUUUCCACUUUUGUUUUUACCAACAUUUUUGGGAUUUAAACUGGGAUCGUCCCACUUAUAAAUCUUCAAUGGAUUCCGUUGGCUCUUUGGUUAGCAUUGUUGAUGAGGACCAGUCCUAUCAUGUCCGCUACAGGUAGGCAUGAACCUACUCA